UUAAGUAAAGUUUGAAUCUUGCUUAAGUUCUAUUAAAAACUAAAUCUAUAUAUAAUUGAGUAAGUUUAAUAAUUUUUUUAUAGUAGAUAGCCUUAGGAAACAAAAAUAUUGGGCCUAGCUAAGUUUGAAGGAUUGACUAAAAUCGUGCCAGCCGUCGCGGUUAGACGAAGAAUCCACAUAGAAUGAAUGUUUAUAUUAGUUAACGUUCAAUUUUUGAAGUUUCUCUAGCUUUUUUGUUGGGUGAAAUCAGUAUAAGAAGCUUUUUCUUCUUUAAAAAUUAGUAGGAACUAAAAAACUUUGAUUUAAAACCAGGAUUAGAUACCCUGUUAUUCUCAGUUAUUCUUAAACAGGGUAGUAAAAGUUGUUCUUCAAACCCAAAGAUUUUGGCGGCACUUUAUCCAAAUAGAGGAGCUUGUCCCUUAAUCGAUAGUCCUCGUUUUAUCUUUCCUUCAUUUGUAAAGCUUGUAUACCGCCGUUGUCAGAUUACUUUUAGAGAACGUUUUCAAGUUAAAAGACUUUGUAACUUCAGGUCAAGGUGCAGUUUAUAUGGGGGUGGAGGUGAGCUACAGUUUCUUUUAGAAAAUACGGAUUCUAAGCUUUGAAGCUAGCUGAAGGUGGAUUUACUAGUAAAGUAAUUUAAGUAAAAUUACUUGAAUAAGGCAAUAAAGUGUGUACAUAUCGCCCGUCACUCUCUCCUUAAGGAGAGAUAAGUCGUAACAAAGUAGAUGUACUGGAAAGUGUAUCUAGAACGA
This 752-nucleotide non-coding RNA is filed under the name Daphnia galeata. RNAcentral describes it as "12S ribosomal RNA". The stretch from base 350 to 746 matches the Rfam family "Microsporidia small subunit ribosomal RNA", at positions 752 to 1303 of the family's 1311-position model. Lineage: Eukaryota; Metazoa; Arthropoda; Branchiopoda; Diplostraca; Daphniidae. The record is from RNAcentral.